CAACCUGCCCUUCAGAGGGGGACAACAGUUGGAAACGACUGCUAAUACCGCAUACGAUCUAAUCUCGGCAUCGAGGAUGGAUGAAAGGUGGCCUCUACAUGUAAGCUAUCACUGAAGGAGGGGAUUGCGUCUGAUUAGCUAGUUGGAGGGGUAACGGCCCACCAAGGCGACGAUCGGUAGCCGGACUGGGAGGUUGAACGGCCACAUUGGGACUGAGACACGGCCCAG
RNAcentral lists this ribosomal RNA (228 nucleotides) under uncultured bacterium. Its description in RNAcentral is "partial 16S ribosomal RNA". It matches the Rfam family "Bacterial small subunit ribosomal RNA", at positions 122 to 334 of the family's 1533-position model. The record is from RNAcentral.